RNAcentral lists this ribosomal RNA (500 nucleotides) under uncultured Glomeromycotina. RNAcentral describes it as "partial small subunit ribosomal RNA". It matches the Rfam family "Eukaryotic small subunit ribosomal RNA", at positions 591 to 1092 of the family's 1831-position model. Lineage: Eukaryota; Fungi; Glomeromycota. The record is from RNAcentral.
CCAAUAGCGUAUACUAAAGUUGUUGCAGUUAAAAAGCUCGUAGUUGAAUUUCGGGGUCAGUAGAUUGGUCAUGCCACUGGUAUGUACUGGUCUCACUGAUUCCUCCUUCCUGAUGAGCCGUAAUGCCAUUAAUUUGGUGUUGCGAGGAAUCUGGACUGUUACUUUGAAAAAAUUAGAGUGUUUAAAGCAGGCUAACGCUUGAAUACAUUAGCAUGGAAUAAUGAAAUAGGACGUUCGAUCUUAUUUUGUUGGUUUCUAAGAUUGACGUAAUGAUUAAUAGGGAUAGUUGGGGGCAUUAGUAUUCAAUUGUCAGAGGUGAAAUUCUUGGAUUUAUUGAAGACUAACUACUGCGAAAGCAUUUGCCAAGGAUGUUUUCAUUAAUCAAGAACGAAAGUUAGGGGAUCGAAGACGAUCAGAUACCGUCGUAGUCUUAACCAUAAACUAUGCCGACUAGGGAUCGGAUGAUGUUAAUUUUUUAAUGACUCAUUCGGCGCCUUACG